Molecule: long non-coding RNA, 3103 nt
Organism: Prionailurus viverrinus (fishing cat)
Lineage: Eukaryota; Metazoa; Chordata; Mammalia; Carnivora; Felidae
Exons: 8
Source: RefSeq, a predicted model, not a curated record
GAAAUGCACCACUGUUUCUUGCUUGUGUUAGAAACGUGUGAAAGAAUUAGUCUGAAAAGUCUUUGCAACGUCUAGUUUCUCCCUCUCCUUUUCUUCUCUCUCUCUUCGUCUCCCUCCCUCCCCUUCCCUCCUCCCUCCCACUCCCCCUCCCUCCCCUCGCAGAGCCGCAGGAAAAGAAGAAUGUCGGCUUCGACUGCCAUCUUUUGGGGAUUUGGAAAAACGACUCGGCACAUGAAGUUGACAAGAGACUCUCCAUGGCAUCAAGCUGUAUGUUUCUGGCCCUGUCCUGCUUACUCUGCCUAUGUCUUCUCCCUGAGAAAACAAGUUCAGCCCAAACUUCCGGGUAAAGCUCAGAUGGAAUUCCUAAAAAACUGAGAAGAAACUGGAGGUCCAGCUUGCAUAGCAAUGUAGCCAGACCUCAGCCUCAUCACAUUAUGGAUUGCAUUCUUACCCAAAUACUCUUCGUGAUUGCCUGCUUUGCGGCUUUGGGAUUCUUUCAGGGGAUGGAGACCAUUCACAUGGAUUGACAUGCCAAUUUUCUCACCGUGAAUCUGGACUGUUAUUGAUUGAUUGCUAUUGCAAGCACUGCUGCCCAGAACAUUCUUCUACAUGAGCCCUGGCGGACACAUGAAAGACUGAAAGGCUCUAGUAAGUCAAAACCAGGACUAGAGUUGUUCAGUUGUAGGAUAUUCGGAUAUCCAAAUUUACCAUGUAAUGAGUGCAGGUGACUGAGUACCUCAUUAGGCUAUUAUUUCAAAAUGGAGAAUAAAACAAAAAUUUUCUGCGUGAGGAUCAUCGUCGACAUGUCUGUGCAUGAAGAAACCAAAUAUAGUUUUUCUUUCCUGGGAGAUCUGACGUGAGAAACCAGUUGUCCAUUUCACUGCCUCUUCACUUGUGGCCACCUCCGUGGUGACAGCCCAUGGUGGACAGAGAAUGGCAGGUACAUCAGGAGCUGACACCCUGGCGUUCUACCCACGAUUGCAGAUUGUAUUACGUGGACCAGUCACUUCUGUUCUCAAGCCUCAGCUGUCAUGGCUACCUUAUGCCAGAUGUACAACGAUGCCUGCAUCGAAGCAGGGACCCGGUCUAGGUGGCAGUGUGAUGUCCCACCCAAUUCUUAGGUGCAUGACUCAGUUCGCUUACUUUACUGGGAGGGCAUUGUAACCUCUCCUAUCAGUUGCAAAAUCUUUAACAUCCAGCAACAAAGAAAUGUGCUGUGGACUGUCUUCUGGAUUUUGUGCCUUCAUAUAUAGGACUGCAAAGCCUAUUAAAGAAGAACAUUUCUCUCCUCCCACCAAGGCCCUGGGUAUCUUUUUAAAUGCCAUUUGGAUCAUGUUACUUCUCUGCAUAAAAUCUUUCAAUUGCUCUUCCUUGUGUAUGGGAUAAUAACAACAGUAUUUGCGGGGCACCCAUGAUGGUUUGUGGUGGGUCCCUGGGUCCACUGCCCCCAUGGGUACCCUGGCCUCUGACCCUAACAAGAUUGACGUUCCUCUUGUUUGCCAUCCUCUCUCUUCCCCAUGCCUUGCUCUUCAAUGGACCAUUUCCUCUGAAGUUAAGGUGCUUCUUUGCUUUCUCUGCUUCUUAUACAUUCAGCUGAGGCAUCUUGUCCUCCAAGAAGCCUGUUACGAACCUCCAAGGCCCUUGUGUGGCCCUCUUCUGUGCCCAUCUGACCCUCAUUGCUUCCCAUGGCAGCCUUAGCUGUGCUGCGUUGUGUUGGCCUUUUGUGGUUUGUCUUGCCCACUAGUCUGGAAGCUUUUGAAGACAGGGACUGGACCUUUCAUUUUGGCAGUUUCUGCACUCAAUCCAGAGCCUAGUACAUGGGUAACAGGGUCAAUAUGUGUUUACCAAACAAGUAAAUGAAGAAAGCCUACAUUUGACAAGAUCUCCUGUAUGAUAAUUAGGGAUACCAUAAACCUAGAGAUUAUAAUUAGGUUGAUAUAUGGCUGGUAGAAAACUGUCUCUAAAGAAUUUAGAGCAGGCCUAAAUCAGACAAUAAAUGUGUGAUGAUUUAUAAGAAGGAGGAAGGGUGUGAGCUGAGAAGCAGAGGCUACCGAACCUGAGUGGGAUUUCUUCAACAGGUCACACCCAAAUGAUUCAGCUCUGAAACCAAUCAGGUAUAAAAUUCUGCUUUUUGUACUAAGAGGUUCAUUAAACUAAUGCAAGUUGUGGGAGGAGAACUUAUCUGAAAGUGACUCAAAAUGAGCCACUAUUUAUUGAGCACCUGCUAUCUCUUGGGCUUUUUCAUUGGAUGCUCUAAAUUCAUAGCCUCAUUUAAUUCAACCUUCACAAUAUCUCUAUGAAGCAGGUAAAAAUAGCCUUAUUUUGUGAACAAGAAGACUGAGGCUAAGGAGGAUUGAUCAAUGUGCCACAGGCCACACUGCUUUGAACAGACAGCACUGACUGGGCUGUUCCAAAGGCCGUGAAUCAAAGGAGGAGCACCUCAGUUAUUCUGUACUGAGUGCUGACUUUAAGGUGCUUAAAUCAGCUAGAUUUACAAGCUAGAAUACAUUCUGAGAGGCGAAGCCGUUGAGGAUUUAGAGGUGAUAAUUAGUCACAUCUUCAUCUGUUCCAAUUUCUGAAUCAACCAAGGAAUAUGCAAAGAAGUCGGAUAGAUAUCCAGAUGUCAGGGGCGCCUGGGUGGCCCAGUCAGCUGAGCGUCUGACUCUUGAUUUCGGCUCAGGUCACGAUCCCAGGGUCAUGGGAAUCCUGUCUGUCUAACCCAACCAAACCAAGUGCCAAGUGCAGCUUCCAGAACCACAGCCCUCAGCCUGGAAGGGGCCUGCCCCCGGAGCUCACCACAGGCAGGAAGAAGUCGGACUCGGCAGACAGGCGAUUCUAAAGUAGAAGGUCUUGUGUGGACUUAGCCUCAAAUGUUCAGUGAAGCCACCUGGAUUCAUCACUCAAGCCAACCAGUCAGUGUGACUCUACAUCUCUUCAGAGAAAUGUAAAGCCAAAGAGCCAAGUCUUUGCCCCUUCACAGGCCAGAAUGCUAAUUGACAUAUCAAUGUGACCAAAGCAGGGGAGGACCGGUAUGAUGGUUCAUUUUAUGUGUCAACCUGGCCAGGCUAUGGUGCCCAGCUGUUUGAUUAAACACUAGUCCAGA